RNAcentral lists this ribosomal RNA (253 nucleotides) under uncultured bacterium. Its description in RNAcentral is "partial 16S ribosomal RNA". It matches the Rfam family "Bacterial small subunit ribosomal RNA", at positions 524 to 776 of the family's 1533-position model. The record is from RNAcentral.
UACGUAGGGAGCAAGCGUUGUUCGGAGUUACUGGGCGUAAAGGGUGCGUAGGCGGCCGCAUAAGUCUGUUGUGAAAUCUCCCGGCUUAACUGGGAGGGUGCGCUAUAAACUGCGUGGCUAGAGUGUGGGAGAGGAAAGUGGAAUUCCUGGUGUAGCGGUGAAAUGCGUAGAUAUCAGGAGGAACACCGGUGGUGUAAACGGCUUUCUGGACCAUAACUGACGCUGAGGCACGAAAGCGUGGGUAGCAAACAGG